RNAcentral lists this ribosomal RNA (253 nucleotides) under uncultured bacterium. RNAcentral's name for it is "partial 16S ribosomal RNA". It matches the Rfam family "Bacterial small subunit ribosomal RNA", at positions 524 to 776 of the family's 1533-position model. The record is from RNAcentral.
UACAGAGGUCUCAAGCGUUGUUCGGAUUCAUUGGGCGUAAAGGGUGCGUAGGUGGCGUCGUAAGUGGGGUGUGAAAUCCCGGGGCUUAACCCCGGGACUGCAUUCCAUACUGCGGUGCUUGAGAACUGGAGAGGAGACUGGAAUUUACGGUGUAGCAGUGAAAUGCGUAGAGAUCGUAAGGAAGACCAGUGGCGAAGGCGGGUCUCUGGACAGUUCCUGACACUGAGGCACGAAGGCCAGGGGAGCAAACGGG